GGAUGUGAGGAAUCCGGCAUCCAAGAUGUUGGAGGUUAGAGAAGACUGGCACGCAGGUAUGCAGAGGAGGCUAGUUUCCGAUGCACCCUCACCUGUACUGCUGCGUGGCGGGAGGGGUGUGUGUGUGUGACGGUGCGGGUGUGUGUGUGGGAGGGUGUUCAAAUGAGGGUGGGCAGCCCUGGGCAAGCUGGGCUGGCAGAACGGCAUGACCAUCUUCAUGCCUCCCUCUUAGCUAAGGGAUGUCUGGCUUGCACAACUGUCUACGUCCCCAUCUUCCAACCUUGGUGUGAGCCAACCACACUUUGCACUGAGGGAUCCUCUCUUCUCCACCCUCCCCCACAUCUGCAGAGGCCCCACCCCACCCCACCAGGAAUUUACCUCUAUGGUUUGAGGUCGUUUUUUUGUUUUCAGCAAAUCUUUCCCCUGUCCCUUCGGAGCACCAAAUGCCGCCCAAACUCUCCAGAUAACUGUUCCUGCGUCUCUGAGGCGGGAACUGAAGGCCCAGAUUUCCAUCUCCGCAGAGGAAGCCAGUGCCUUGGCCCCACCCAGCCAUUGUGUCAGACCAGGGUUGUGAGUGUUGAGGGUGGUGGGGAAGGGGAUCCCCUGGAUCUGUAGAGUGACUUGCUGCUCACUAUUCUGUGUUCCCAGUUCCUCGGGAGGCCCCAGCUCUCAGUGUUGCACUGGGAAGCUCCCACAGCGAAUGUCCUGGAAGUCAAUGCUGGGGGAGAAAGGAGGGAGGGAGACUGGUGGGGGUUGCAGGGGCAAGUUCCUGUCAGAUGUUACUCCGUGGGCACACAUCAAGACACUGGGAAGAAAAAUCAGGUAAGCUUGUAUUGAAAGAUGGUUUAAACCCCUUCUUGCAGAAAGCCAAAAAACCUAGUCUUUCUAAGGGACCACACAAUCUGCCCUAUUUCCCAGCUUCUCCCUUCAGGCCUAUUCCUACCUUAGGAUUUUUGGAGUUCUCCUAAUGCCUGAAAAUCUUCCCAGAAAUCUCCCUGAAGCAUUUCUUCAUGUUCUCUGGGCAGCUGGAAGGAACCCUCUCAAAGAGGUCUGUUCUGGCUACUCUAAAAUUUCAAUCCACUGGGCUACCUGGUCAGGUCUUGUC
Molecule: long non-coding RNA, 1105 nt
Filed under: Mus musculus (house mouse)
Lineage: Eukaryota; Metazoa; Chordata; Mammalia; Rodentia; Muridae
Description: long non-coding RNA chr11:68956982-68958087
Source: RNAcentral